This 501-nucleotide ribosomal RNA is filed under the name Glaphyrymenia pustulosa. RNAcentral's name for it is "eukaryotic LSU rRNA". It matches the Rfam family "Eukaryotic large subunit ribosomal RNA", at positions 364 to 946 of the family's 3401-position model. Lineage: Eukaryota; Rhodophyta; Florideophyceae; Gigartinales; Kallymeniaceae. The record is from RNAcentral.
AUGACAAGCACUUUGAAAAGAGGGUGAAAAGAGCCUGAAACCGUCACGGGGGAAGCGGAUUGCGUUGGAUUGAGCGGGUCGGGGUGUGUUCAGCCGCAAGGUGCAUUGGCAGCCCGGCCCAUCUGUCGUGGGUUUCAGACGGUCGAAAAACAAUGGGCCGUUUGGGGCUGAGGGAUCCCUUUUACAGGUGAGGACGAUAGAGUAACGACGCGAUACGACCCGUCUUGAAACACGGACCAAGGAGUCUAGCGCGGGUGCGAGUCAAAGGGUGCAAGCCCGUGGGCGAAGUGAAAGCGAGUGUAAAAACGAGCAGUUUGGGGCGGCAUUGGAUCGUUGAUCCAAAGUCCGACCUUGAGCAGUUGCGCUGGGACCCGAAAGAUGGUGAACUAUGCCGGAGUAGGGCAAAGCCAGAGGAAACUCUGGUGGAGGCUCGUAGCGGUGCUGACGUGCAAAUCGCUCGUCCGACUUGGGUAUAGGGGCGAAGACUAAUCGAACUAUCUA